UGGUGAGUUCAUAUCCCAGUACCGCCAAAAAAAAAUUAAAAAUACAUAAACUCAUCAUAAACAAAACUGGUUUGUCUUCACUCAGGGCACCAUGAGGAUAGGUUGGCUGUUUGUUAGCACCUUCUGAUCUUUGCAGAGUUAAACAUAA
This 148-nucleotide small nucleolar RNA is filed under the name Castor canadensis (American beaver). Its description in RNAcentral is "Small nucleolar RNA SNORA79 (ENSCCNG00000000416.1)". Lineage: Eukaryota; Metazoa; Chordata; Mammalia; Rodentia; Castoridae. The record is from RNAcentral.